RNAcentral lists this signal recognition particle RNA (100 nucleotides) under Synergistaceae bacterium. RNAcentral's name for it is "signal recognition particle sRNA small type". It matches the Rfam family "Bacterial small signal recognition particle RNA". From Rfam's summary of the family: The signal recognition particle (SRP) is a universally conserved ribonucleoprotein involved in the co-translational targeting of proteins to membranes. Archaeal SRP consists of a 7S RNA and homologues of the eukaryotic SRP19 and SRP54 proteins. Lineage: Bacteria; Thermotogati; Synergistota; Synergistia; Synergistales; Synergistaceae. The record is from RNAcentral.
UAUUCGGUCCUAUGCAGCACAACGCUCCGAACCUGGUCAGGUCUUGACGGAAGCAGCCAUAAGAAGCAGUUUGUGGGUGCCAUAGGUUAGCCGAUGUUGU